This 253-nucleotide ribosomal RNA is filed under the name uncultured bacterium. Its description in RNAcentral is "partial 16S ribosomal RNA". It matches the Rfam family "Bacterial small subunit ribosomal RNA", at positions 524 to 776 of the family's 1533-position model. The record is from RNAcentral.
UACGAAGGGAGCUAGCGUUGUUCGGAAUCACUGGGCGUAAAGCGCACGUAGGCGGAUGUGUCAGUCAGGGGUGAAAUCCCGGAGCUCAACUUCGGAACUGCCCUUGAUACAGCACGUCUCGAGUCCGAGAGAGGUGAGUGGAAUUCCUAGUGUAGAGGUGAAAUUCGUAGAUAUUAGGAAGAACACCAGUGGCGAAGGCGGCUCACUGGCUCGGUACUGACGCUGAGGUGCGAAAGCGUGGGGAGCGAACGGG